Molecule: ribosomal RNA, 253 nt
Filed under: uncultured bacterium
Lineage: Bacteria
Description: partial 16S ribosomal RNA
Rfam family: Bacterial small subunit ribosomal RNA
Source: RNAcentral
UACGGAGGGGGCAAGCGUUAUCCGGAUUUACUGGGUUUAAAGGGCGCGUAGGCGGGCAUUUAAGUCAGUGGUGAAAUACCGGAGCUUAACUUCGGAACUGCCACUGAUACUAUAUGUCUUGAAGAUUGUGGAGGUAAGUGGAAUAUGUCAUGUAGCGGUGAAAUGCAUAGAUAUGACAUAGAACACCGAUUGCGGAGGCAGCUUGCUACACAAAUAUUGACGCUGAGGUACGAAAGCGUGGGGAGCAAACAGG